Molecule: ribosomal RNA, 1552 nt
Filed under: Vibrio parahaemolyticus
Lineage: Bacteria; Pseudomonadati; Pseudomonadota; Gammaproteobacteria; Vibrionales; Vibrionaceae
Description: bacterial SSU rRNA
Rfam family: Bacterial small subunit ribosomal RNA
Source: RNAcentral
AAAUUGAAGAGUUUGAUCAUGGCUCAGAUUGAACGCUGGCGGCAGGCCUAACACAUGCAAGUCGAGCGGAAACGAGUUAUCUGAACCUUCGGGGAACGAUAACGGCGUCGAGCGGCGGACGGGUGAGUAAUGCCUAGGAAAUUGCCCUGAUGUGGGGGAUAACCAUUGGAAACGAUGGCUAAUACCGCAUGAUGCCUACGGGCCAAAGAGGGGGACCUUCGGGCCUCUCGCGUCAGGAUAUGCCUAGGUGGGAUUAGCUAGUUGGUGAGGUAAGGGCUCACCAAGGCGACGAUCCCUAGCUGGUCUGAGAGGAUGAUCAGCCACACUGGAACUGAGACACGGUCCAGACUCCUACGGGAGGCAGCAGUGGGGAAUAUUGCACAAUGGGCGCAAGCCUGAUGCAGCCAUGCCGCGUGUAUGAAGAAGGCCUUCGGGUUGUAAAGUACUUUCAGCAGUGAGGAAGGUGGUAGUGUUAAUAGCACUAUCAUUUGACGUUAGCUGCAGAAGAAGCACCGGCUAACUCCGUGCCAGCAGCCGCGGUAAUACGGAGGGUGCGAGCGUUAAUCGGAAUUACUGGGCGUAAAGCGCAUGCAGGUGGUUUGUUAAGUCAGAUGUGAAAGCCCGGGGCUCAACCUCGGAAUUGCAUUUGAAACUGGCAGACUAGAGUACUGUAGAGGGGGUAGAAUUUCAGGUGUAGCGGUGAAAUGCGUAGAGAUCUGAAGGAAUACCGGUGGCGAAGGCGGCCCCCUGGACAGAUACUGACACUCAGAUGCGAAAGCGUGGGGAGCAAACAGGAUUAGAUACCCUGGUAGUCCACGCCGUAAACGAUGUCUACUUGGAGGUUGUGGCCUUGAGCCGUGGCUUUCGGAGCUAACGCGUUAAGUAGACCGCCUGGGGAGUACGGUCGCAAGAUUAAAACUCAAAUGAAUUGACGGGGGCCCGCACAAGCGGUGGAGCAUGUGGUUUAAUUCGAUGCAACGCGAAGAACCUUACCUACUCUUGACAUCCAGAGAACUUUCCAGAGAUGGAUUGGUGCCUUCGGGAACUCUGAGACAGGUGCUGCAUGGCUGUCGUCAGCUCGUGUUGUGAAAUGUUGGGUUAAGUCCCGCAACGAGCGCAACCCUUAUCCUUGUUUGCCAGCGAGUAAUGUCGGGAACUCCAGGGAGACUGCCGGUGAUAAACCGGAGGAAGGUGGGGACGACGUCAAGUCAUCAUGGCCCUUACGAGUAGGGCUACACACGUGCUACAAUGGCGCAUACAGAGGGCAGCCAACUUGCGAAAGUGAGCGAAUCCCAAAAAGUGCGUCGUAGUCCGGAUUGGAGUCUGCAACUCGACUCCAUGAAGUCGGAAUCGCUAGUAAUCGUGGAUCAGAAUGCCACGGUGAAUACGUUCCCGGGCCUUGUACACACCGCCCGUCACACCAUGGGAGUGGGCUGCAAAAGAAGUAGGUAGUUUAACCUUUGGGGGGACGCUUACCACUUUGUGGUUCAUGACUGGGGUGAAGUCGUAACAAGGUAGCGCUAGGGGAACCUGGCGCUGGAUCACCUCCUUA